This 67-nucleotide transfer RNA is filed under the name Marmota monax (woodchuck). RNAcentral describes it as "tRNA.Ala". Lineage: Eukaryota; Metazoa; Chordata; Mammalia; Rodentia; Sciuridae. The record is from RNAcentral.
GGAUUGUGGCUCAGUGGUGGAGCGCUCGCCUAGCACGGGAGGUACCCGGGUUCGAUCCUCAGCACCA